UAUUCAACAAGCCCUGUUGAAUGUCUGCUCUGGGCCUAGUCCAGAGAUACAAACGGGGAAGGUGUGGAACCCCCUCCAGAAGUUCAGGAUCUAGAGAGAGAAAGAAGCCUUCCUCGGCAGCGCAAGGGUCCACAGGAGUGCAAACACCAAAGGAGAGCUUUCAUGAAAAGUAUCAAUCUAAGCAGGUCAUCUGAAGAAGAGCAUGGCAACCCACUCCGAUAUUCUUGCCUGGAGAAUCCCAUGGACAAAGGAGACUAGAGGGCUACAGUCCAUGAGUUUGUGAAGAGUCAGACACAACUGAGCGACAGCACUAGCAAGAAGCAGAUCAUAGCAAUGGGAAAUUCCUCUAUGGGAAUUUAAACACUCCAAAUAAAAAUAUGUAUUUGUAGUA
Long non-coding RNA from Bubalus bubalis (water buffalo), 391 nucleotides. RefSeq lists it as uncharacterized. The record is from RefSeq and is a predicted model, not a curated record. Lineage: Eukaryota; Metazoa; Chordata; Mammalia; Artiodactyla; Bovidae. The transcript has 2 exons.